This 406-nucleotide ribosomal RNA is filed under the name uncultured bacterium. RNAcentral's name for it is "partial 16S ribosomal RNA". It matches the Rfam family "Bacterial small subunit ribosomal RNA", at positions 29 to 526 of the family's 1533-position model. The record is from RNAcentral.
AUUGAACGCUGGCGGCAGGCCUAACACAUGCAAGUCGAGCGAGCGGCGGACGGGUGAGUAAUGUCUGGGAAACUGCCUGAUGGAGGGGGAUAACUACUGGAAACGGUAGCUAAUACCGCAUACCAUCAGAUGUGCCCAGAUGGGAUUAGCUAGUAGGUGGGGUAACGGCUCACCUAGGCGACGAUCCCUAGCUGGUCUGAGAGGAUGACCAGGCACACUGGGAAUGGGCAACCGUCCAGACGCCCACGGGAGGCAUCAGUGGGGAAUAGUGCACCAUGGGCGCAAGGCUGAUGCAGCCAUGCCGCGGGUGUGGAGAAGGCCUUCGGGUUUGAAAGCACUUUCAGCGGGGAGGCGUUACCCGGAGAAGAAGCACCGGCUAACUCCGUGCCAGCCGCCGCGGUAAUAC